CCUACGGGGUGCAGCAGUGGGGAAUAUUGCACAAUGGGGGAAACCCUGAUGCAGCGACGCCGCGUGAGUGAAGAAGUAUCUCGGUACGUAACGCUCUAUCAGCAGGGAAGAAAAUGACGGUACCUGACUAAGAAGCCCCGGCUAACUACGUACCAGCAGCCGCGGUAAUACUUAGGGGGCAAGCGUUAUCCGGAUUUACUGGGUGUAAAGGGAGCGUAGACGGCAGCACAAGUCUGGAGUGAAAUCCCGGGGCUUAACCCCGGAACUGCUUUGGAAACUGUGCGGCUGGAGUGCAGGAGGGGUAAGCGGAAUUCCUAGUGUAGCGGUGAAAUGCGUAGAUAUUAGGAGGAACACCGGUGGCGAAGGCGGCUUACUGGACUGUAACUGACGUUGAGGCUCGAAAGCGUGGGGAGCAAACAGGAUUAGAUACCCGGGUAGUC
RNAcentral lists this ribosomal RNA (440 nucleotides) under uncultured bacterium. RNAcentral's name for it is "partial 16S ribosomal RNA". It matches the Rfam family "Bacterial small subunit ribosomal RNA", at positions 338 to 795 of the family's 1533-position model. The record is from RNAcentral.